GCGGGCGAGGUGUUAACGGCUGCACGUGAGCCUUCCAAGCUCAAAGAACGGGUUCGACCCCCGUCGCCCGCU
Molecule: transfer RNA, 72 nt
Filed under: Solirubrobacterales bacterium
Lineage: Bacteria; Bacillati; Actinomycetota; Thermoleophilia; Solirubrobacterales
Description: tRNA-Gly
Rfam family: tRNA
About the family: Transfer RNA (tRNA) molecules are approximately 80 nucleotides in length. Their secondary structure includes four short double-helical elements and three loops (D, anti-codon, and T loops).
Source: RNAcentral